This is a long non-coding RNA of Humulus lupulus (European hop), 4162 nucleotides long. RefSeq lists it as uncharacterized. The transcript has 3 exons. The record is from RefSeq and is a predicted model, not a curated record. NCBI's taxonomy places the organism in Eukaryota, Viridiplantae, Streptophyta, Magnoliopsida, Rosales, Cannabaceae.
AACUUUUUAAUUUUAGGGGAAGUUUUUCUUUAAUCAUUCUUUAGUCUCCAUUUUUUAUUUUUCAGAGAAGAACCAUUCUCCCAUUUUUCGCCGCCAUUUAUGCCCUAGAUAAUCUUUGAGCACAGUCAUUCUAGCUCAGCCAUGGCCGCCGUCGAGGUUCGCUCCGACAAGAAGAAGAAGAAGCAUUCAUCAGCUGAUACGCCCAAAGCAGUCGGUGACUUGGACUCGCAGCCGGCUUAGAAGGACACCGAUUUCAUGAUCAAGCUAUAGAGCUACAAUCCAACCAUCGGCACUUCUCAGUGGCCACUCCUUCUCAAGGACUACGAUCUUCUCAUAGUACGAACCAGACACUACACUCCUCAUCUCAAGCCACAGAGCUACACUCCCACCAUCGACACUACACUCUUCUCAAGGACUGAGUACAUAAGGAGAUUAGGAGUGUGCGAACUGGCAUUCUGGGUGAGAAAGAUAACAUGGUUACUAUGCAUGAUGUUAUGGAUGCUCAAUGGGCAUAUGAAGCGUAUUGUUGAUGUUGUUCACUUCACACUAAAGGUGGUAUCUUUUUCGUAUCAUUUUUUUGCAUAUGGACAGAGUUUCAAAUAAGGUGCGUUUUAGAAUCUCCUGUAAGAUCUUAAUAUACAAUAUGAUGAGAUUAUGAAAGGAGUUGUUUGUUGAAAAAUAUAAAGUAUUCUAUGCUAUGCUAUUGUAUAGAUAUAUGACUAAGUUGACUAUUAAUUACCCAUUAUGUUAUGAAUUAGCAAGAAUGAGAAACGAAAAUGCAGAAUUGUCUGGUAGAAUAUACAUCGACUGAUUAUUUCUUACAAGACAAAAUAAGCUUUAAAUUUAACAUGUAAGCUGAGAUUGCUUUAAUCUCUUACAUGAACAAUUCCCAAAGAACAAUGAAUGGGAGCAUUAAUUAGAACCACGAUUGCUUACCUAGUGAUGUUUCUUCCUUUUUUUUUUUUAUAAUUCUAGCCUAACCUUCUUUCAACUUUAGUUGUCACUGCUCGUUAGUUUUUAUACUCUAUAUUUCAGUAUGAAAUAAUUAAUGUUUAGUUUCAUUAUGCUAUUAUGAGUUGAUGUCUUUUUUUUUCUGUCCUAAGGAGGGGCUUAGCCAACAGAUGUUAAGACGCUGUAGGUUCAUGUUAUAUGUGCCUGGUUUAGGCCUGCAUUCUCUUUUGCAAGUGAUGAAAAGAUGGAACUUGCUCUUGGAAUAUUGAGUUUUACAUUUAAUUCUUUUGUCAAGCACAAAACCACAAGAAGAAGAAAAGGAGAAGCCUGUACGGCGGUAGGGGCUCGGGGGAUGGUGGUCGACCGCGACACGGGGGUCGGGGUCGGGGUUGGGCUGUACGGCAGCAGGGGGCUCGGGACUGGGCUCAACGGCAACGACUAGUGGCUCGGGGGCUGGGCUCGACGGCACAGGGGCUGGGCAUUUUCUCAGUCUAUUCCCUCUCAGUCAGUCAGGUAUGGAGAUUGCUUUUUAUUUUUUAUUUUAAUUUCUUUUCUAUUAUUUUCUUUCUUUCUUUUGUUUUGGUGAAAAGGGAUCUCUCAAUCUCACGGCCCUCCCUCUCUCACUCCAGUCUCACUCUCUCAAGUAUGGAGACUCUUUAUUUUUUAUUUUUUAUAAUUGCUAGAAGAUCAGUACACAUUUCCCUGAAAACUACAAAUAUUUACAAUAUGAAACAUCAUAUUAUAGCCAAAAAAAAUAGAAAAGGCUUAGAGACUUAAUGUACAACCCUUAUACAUGUGAUAGCUUGGAAAAGACCAUGAUUAAGAAUCAGUGGGAAAAGAAAAAGAAGUCUGACCAUAUGUAGGAAGAGGAAAAUGCCCUGUAUUUCAAAGUGUUGGCAAAUCUAUAAAAGUAGGAUCUUGAAAUGGUGAAGUGAAACAAAGGAGUGUGCUAUAGGAACCAGAAUAAUUAUAUAGUGGUAAAUGAUAGAAAACAAGAAGAUUGUUGUUUCGAUCUUAUGCCUCAAUAUCUGCCUUAUAUUCAUCUUUAGAUUACAUUGAAAACUGCAUUAACAUGAGCUUGUUGGACUGUUAAUUAAUUCAUAAUUACAAAUUAAUGAGAAGUUAUUUCAUUAAACCCAACGUUAGACAAAGUUUUGAAAUUACGAUUGACAUGAUUGUUCUUCUUUUGUUAUUACUUAAUGUGAAUAAGUUGAGAACAUUAUAAUCACCUCACUUGUUUAUGAUAACACCUGAAAUGAACAUGAACUUCUCUAAUGUGGGACUCAAAUCACUUCUUGUCUUGUAGUUGUAAUGAAGACUAAAAAAGGAAUACAUAAUACAUAUCAUCAAUUAGUGGAAUCAAUUUGCUUAAAAUUUGAGACAAUCAUUUCUUGUCCCUCUAUUAAAAUUUCUAUCCAACUCUACGAGUACACACAUAUAUAUAAUCUCCAUUCACUUUUGCCUUUUCACUUUGUUUGGUUUCAAUUUUCUAAUAAUACAUUGCCCCUUAAAAAAAAUAAUAAUUGUACAAUAUUAUUUCACAGAUCAAGGGUAGAUAUUUUUAGUCCCAAUUUCUCAAAAAUAAAAAUGAAAAACAAGGAUAGAACUCAUUGAACUCAUUUCAGAAACAAGCAUAUAAAAAGGAAAUUUUUGCUGGCAGACGCUGUAGAACUCAUUUCAAUUUUCAAUUUUCUAAUAAUACAUUGAACUCAUUUCAGAAACAGAAUAUGCAAUACUUGGGAGUGUGGUUGGUUACUUUUGUGUUAAGCUUAUUAUUAGCCAUGCUUUGCUUCAAGAAUUCCUAAAAAAAUCUUAACAAUGUGGGUUUAAGUUGAAUCUUAGUUUGCCCUCAUAAAAUUUUGCUUAUUUUUGAUCAUCAAGGCAUUGUACCUUUGUACCUUUAACCAUAUUUUUUACUCAUGCAAAUAAUGUACCUUUGCAUGCAAUUUGGAACAAUUUGUGUUGUAUCUGUUUAGAUGAAGAUUGGAGUGAUGUUUUGUAGUUUUUUCAAAUGGUAUUUAGCAUUUUAACAGGACAAGCAAAAUAGGCAACGCUUCAUUGAAUAGUUGCCAAGUUUUGAACCAAAAUAGACAAAGCUUCACUGAUUAGUUACCAUAUCAUCUCAUCAUCUCAUCAACAGUGAGAAGUUGUGAACCAAAAUAGACAAUGCUUCACUAAUUAGUUACCAUUGCAUCUCUUCAAGAGUGCUGUUAGUAUUUGAUAGGUUCUUUUAAAACUAACAGUUUGUUUUGAAAAGAAACACAACAAUUACUCUUAAAUAGCCAUUUAUUAUAGGUAAGAAAGAUAAGAUACAAUUCUGAAACAUGUUUUGCUGAAACAUGCUAAAUGGUAUCUAAAAGCUACCGAUGCUUGAUAAAUGUUUUUACUCAAUUUUAAUUAUAGUUGUUGGGUUAGUACCUCUUCUUUGUUCUUUCAUUUUUGUGUGCCCAUGCUUUGAGUGGAAGCCAUCGUCAAAAGAAAUAAACUUAAAAAAUACAAGCCACAAACUAAUAAAAUUGGAUUUGUACAUAUUAUGCUUUAAUUAAAAAUUUUGAUUAGUCUAUUGUGUAAAUGUAAAAAGAGUGAAUAAAUUUGUUUGUUUUGUUUUUCAAUUCCAAACUUGUUUUAUGUUUUUGAUGUGGAUGUCUGUGUAAGCAUUGAAGACUUGGGUCCUAUAAUGUUUUGGUAUAUAUUGACUUUUUUAUUUUGUUUUAAUAUACCUUGAAUGAAAUAAAGUAUUAGAGAGAUAAAAUUAGUUUAUUGAAGCUAUUGAGUAUGGAAAAAUAUUAAAAGAACAAGAGAGUAAACUUAUGACUUGGACUGACACAUUGGUAGCAAGAGAGUUGUGUAACAAUUGUGAGUAAACUUAUUUAUUUACAUUACAAUAAAAAUCUAGUUAUAAUUUUUUCAUGUUUGGUGUAUUAUAAUGUGAUUUUUUAUGUUCCAGGGAUGAUUUUAAAAAUAAAUUCAUAACAGCUAAUUCUUACUUUGAAAAGACUAUUGGUGAUGAGGGUGAGUAUAAGGACAAGAAGAAGAAAGAUAUGUUGUUUGACAAUGAAUCUAGUGUUUUAUUUUAUUUGUAAUUUUUAUUAGUGUAAAUGAUUCUUUUUUGAGUGUUUAAUUAUAUUUUGUAAAUUUAGUUAUAUAUUUUUUAAGGUGAAGAUGAUUAUGUUUAUAAAUAAGGUUAUAUGAUUUUUGAGUCGUGUAGUAG